AUAACCUUUAAAGCUAGUCCAGAGAGGCUAGAAAGGGUAGGUAAAUUGCAAUAGGUAUGCAGUGGUGCAUACAAUUUUAACAGGAUAACUAUGCCUUCCCUUAGGGAAGGCUUUUUUAUU
This is a regulatory RNA element of Clostridium bornimense, 120 nucleotides long. It matches the Rfam family "PyrR binding site". From Rfam's summary of the family: This family represents the PyrR binding site and terminator structure. The record is from Rfam. Lineage: Bacteria; Bacillati; Bacillota; Clostridia; Eubacteriales; Clostridiaceae.